RNAcentral lists this non-coding RNA (20 nucleotides) under Arabidopsis thaliana (thale cress). The record is from RNAcentral. Lineage: Eukaryota; Viridiplantae; Streptophyta; Magnoliopsida; Brassicales; Brassicaceae.
UGCGUGCCUGUUGUAUGGCC